This 488-nucleotide ribosomal RNA is filed under the name uncultured bacterium. RNAcentral's name for it is "bacterial SSU rRNA". It matches the Rfam family "Bacterial small subunit ribosomal RNA", at positions 1 to 507 of the family's 1533-position model. The record is from RNAcentral.
AGUACAGACGUAGUUUGAUCCUGGUCUCAGGAUAGAACGCUGGCGGCGUGCCUAAUACAUGCAAGUCGAACGGGGAGUAGCAAUACUUCUAGUGGCGAACGGGUGAGUAACGCGUUGGUGACCUGCCCCGAAGCGUGGGAUACCAAUCCGAAAGGAUUGCUAAUACCGCAUGGAGUUCUCGAGAUUAGAGGCUUGGGAACGAAAGGAGACAUUCACUUCGGGAGGGGCCUCGCGUCCCAUCAGCUAGUUGGUGAGGUAACGGCUCACCAAGGCGAUGACGGGUAGGGGACCUGAGAGGGUGGCCCCCCACAAUGGAACUGAAACACGGUCCAUACACCUACGGGUGGCAGCAGUAGGGAAUAUUGCAAAAUGGGCGCAAGCCCGAUGCAGCAACGCCGCGUGGACGAUGAAGGCCUUCGGGUCGUAAAGUCCUUUUGAGGGGAAGAGGAAGGACGGUACCCUCAGAAUAAGCCUCGGCUAACUACGUG